RNAcentral lists this ribosomal RNA (254 nucleotides) under uncultured bacterium. RNAcentral's name for it is "partial 16S ribosomal RNA". It matches the Rfam family "Bacterial small subunit ribosomal RNA", at positions 524 to 777 of the family's 1533-position model. The record is from RNAcentral.
UACGGAGGGUGCAAACGUUGCUCGGAAUCAUUGGGCGUAAAGCGCACGUAGGCGGCCUGAUAAGUCGGGUGUGAAAGCCCUGGGCUCAACCCAGGUAGUGCACUCGAAACUGUCAGGCUUGAAUAUGGAAGAGGGUCGCGGAAUUCCCGGUGUAGAGGUGAAAUUCGUAGAUAUCGGGAGGAACACCAGUGGCGAAGGCGGCGACCUGGGCCAAUAUUGACGCUGAGGUGCGAAAGCGUGGGGAGCAAACAGGG